ACACGGCCAUAUGUCCCUUGUAGCUUCUUAAGGAUACAAGUCAAUAUGCUCACACCACCUAGCACACGGGCGUAUGGCUUGGUCGUGUGACCUAAGUUAGUGAGUUACAUGGGCACAAACCUAGGCUAGGACACGGCCAUAUGUCCCUAUUUCAAAUGUCUACAUGGCCUAAGACACGGGCGUGUCUCUUGGCUGUGUGAGUCACACGGCCGUGUGACCCUGCAGCUUUGAAAAUUUUAAAUGUUUUUGAAAUAUUUUCUAAGUUUUUGAUUUAGUCCUAAUUUAUUUCUAAUGCAUAAUUUGAG
This 305-nucleotide long non-coding RNA is filed under the name Gossypium barbadense (sea-island cotton). RNAcentral's name for it is "long non-coding RNA (GBAR_LNC011480)". The record is from RNAcentral. Lineage: Eukaryota; Viridiplantae; Streptophyta; Magnoliopsida; Malvales; Malvaceae.